GGGCCCGCACAAGCGGUGGAUGAUGUGGUUUAAUUCGAUGCAACGCGAAAAACCUUACCUACCCUUGACAUGUGCGGAAUCCUGCAGAGAUGCAGGAGUGCCCGAAAGGGAACCGCAACACAGGUGCUGCAUGGCUGUCGUCAGCUCGUGUCGUGAGAUGUUGGGUUAAGUCCCGCAACGAGCGCAACCCUUGCCAUUAGUUGCUACAUUCAGUUGAGCACUCUAAUGGGACUGCCGGUGACAAACCGGAGGAAGGUGGGGAUGACGUCAAGUCCUCAUGGCCCUUAUGGGUAGGGCUACACACGUCAUACAAUGGCGCGUACAGAGGGUUGCCAACCCGCGAGGGGGAGCCAAUCCCAGAAAGCGCGUCGUAGUCCGGAUUGAAGUCUGCAACUCGACUUCAUGAAGUCGGAAUCGCUAGUAAUCGCGGAUCAGCAUGUCGCGGUGAAUACGUUCCCGGGCCUU
This 465-nucleotide ribosomal RNA is filed under the name uncultured bacterium. RNAcentral's name for it is "bacterial SSU rRNA". It matches the Rfam family "Bacterial small subunit ribosomal RNA", at positions 917 to 1382 of the family's 1533-position model. The record is from RNAcentral.